AUGCUUUACACAUGCAAGUCGAACGGCAGCACGGGAGCUUGCUCCUGGUGGCGAGUGGCGGACGGGUGAGUAAUAUAUCGGAACGUAUCUAUUAAUGGGGGAUAACUAGCCGAAAGGUUAGCUAAUACCGCAUACGCCCUGAGGGGGAAAGCUGGGGAUCUUCGGACCUGGCGUUAAUAGGGCGGCCGAUACCUGAUUAGCUAGUUGGUGGGGUAAAGGCCUACCAAGGCGACGAUCAGUAGCUGGUCUGAGAGGACGACCAGCCACACUGGGACUGAGACACGGCCCAGACUCCUACGGGAGGCAGCAGUGGGGAAUUUUGGACAAUGGGGGCAACCCUGAUCCAGCCAUUCCGCGUGAGUGAAGAAGGCCUUCGGGUUGUAAAGCUCUUUCGCAAGGGAAGAAACGAUAUAAGUGAAUAGCUUAUGUUAAUGACGGUAC
RNAcentral lists this ribosomal RNA (441 nucleotides) under uncultured bacterium. RNAcentral describes it as "bacterial SSU rRNA". It matches the Rfam family "Bacterial small subunit ribosomal RNA", at positions 44 to 478 of the family's 1533-position model. The record is from RNAcentral.